AAUUAUUUAGUCUAAAUGUUGAUAAUGAUUUGGGUGAAAAUUUGAAUGGAACAAAGGUAAAUAAUAUAGUUACAUAUGUUUAGUCAUUUUAAUGCACAUAUGUAUUUUUUUGUUUAUCAUUUAUAUGUUAUAUAUAUAUAUAUAUAUAUAUAAAUGUUGAAAUUGAUUCUCAAGAAUUAAUCCCUGAUGAGCUUCUCCGAACUAUAAAUUCGAAUUACUUACAUUCUGAGAAGGUUGAUCAACAUGAUUGUCGAGUAUGUAUAAUGAAUUUACCUUUGGCUAUAUGUGAUUUAAUAAUUCAGGGGACGAUUAUCUUUUUUCUUUCAUUUUUUAUAGACCAGCGAUGAGAAAAUGUAUGAAACAAUUUUGUCCGAUUCGCAAUUGACAAUUUCAAAUGAGAUAUUACCGAAUCUAAAUGCCUACCGAAGAGAAAGCAUCGUCAAACUUCCUUCAAAAAAUCGUGAAGAAGAAUCUCAUUAUGAAAAUUUGAAUGAUAAAAAGGCUGAGAAUGUUGUUGAAGAUCAAUUCAAGUAUGUAUAGUGAACAUAUAUUUUGAGGUUACGUAUGUUUUAUUGAAUAGAACAAACUAAUAUUUUUUCCUAUUCUUUUGUUAGACGAACAAAGAGAACAAUGGUUUGAGUUUAAAAUCACCGGUGCAUGCAGAGGAUGAACUUGAUACAAAGGAGCAAGUUAGGAUACUUUUUAAUACACAAGAACUAUCCAUUGAUGAACAAAGGGAUGAACAAAAGAAUGAACAAGUGUGGCCUGACUCACAAAACACAAUCCCUGAUGAGUUUCUACCUAGUCUGAAUGUCUACAAAUGAAAAAGCAUCAUUAUUCAUCCCUCUGCUAAUCGUGAACUUCAAACUCCCGUAUAAAAGUUAAGGAUUAGGAGACCAUCCAAAUUCAAGGAGUCGCCGUAUACUGAUAACUUUGGUUCANNNNNNNNNNNNNNNNNNNNNNNNNNNNNNNNNNNNNNNNNNNNNNNNNNNNNNNNNNNNNNNNNNNNNNNNNNNNNNNNNNNNNNNNNNNNNNNNNNNNNNNNNNNNNNNNNNNNNNNNNNNNNNNNNNNNNNNNNNNNNNNNNNNNNNNNNNNNNNNNNNNNNNNNNNNNNNNNNNNNNNNNNNNNNNNNNNNNNNNNNNNNNNNNNNNNNNNNNNNNNNNNNNNNNNNNNNNNNNNNNNNNNNNNNNNNNNNNNNNNNNNNNNNNNNNNNNNNNNNNNNNNNNNNNNNNNNNNNNNNNNNNNNNNNNNNNNNNNNNNNNNNNNNNNNNNNNNNNNNNNNNNNNNNNNNNNNNNNNNNNNNNNNNNNNNNNNNNNNNNNNNNNNNNNNNNNNNNNNNNNNNNNNNNNNNNNNNNNNNNNNNNNNNNNNNNNNNNNNNNNNNNNNNNNNNNNNNNNNNNNNNNNNNNNNNNNNNNNNNNNNNCGUAUACUGAUAACUGUGGUGCAGCAGCCGGUAAGUACACUAAGUUAUAUAUAUUUUUUAAUGUAUUAUGUUUUGCAAAUAUGUUUGUAUUAAUUAUAUUUUUGUAUUUUGUAAUUAUAUGGAGAUCAGUAGGAUAAAUACGUAUAUUUUUCAGAAACAUCCAUUUGUAUAUCACCCGAUUGAUGGGAUAGUGGAUACGAAUAUUGUCAAGAAGUUCAUGGACUGAAUUUCUGUCGACCUUCUAAAAGUUUCUGCUGAAAGGUAGUUCUUUUGAAUUUUUUCAGAUUUAUUUUUUAUAUCUAUUAUGUUUUGAUGAUUUACCAUGUACUUAAAAAAAACAGAAAGGGUAAAGUAGAACAUUACAAGAAGGGCAAAUCAGACAUUUCAAUGAUGCAUUUUGGAGUUCAGACUGUUGAAGAUAAAAAUUGAUCUUACACUAUGAAAUUCGCAGAUCAGUUAUGGACAAACUCGGUUAGUAUAUUAUAUUGAAAAAAAUUUUAUUACAACUGUAACAUUACUUAAAAUACAUAUUAGGUUUCCAUAAAAUCCAUAUACUUUCACACAUAUGUAUUUUUUACUACUCUUUCAUUAGACUUUUAUAUGUUGUGCUAAAAAUACAUGUAUACUUUAGUAAUAUACAUGUGAGGUAUUCAAUUACAUCACAUACUGUCGCAUUUAUUUUUUUCUUACAUUUUCUGCAUAUAAGUGUAGUUUAAAAAUGAAACUAUACAUACACAGAUCUUAGACAUUAAUAUAAAAAACUCAUAUGUAUUUUAUCUUACAUACAUAUGCAAAUUUAGAAUGCAAUUUUUUUAAAAGUUUUAAAUUUUGUGGUAUUAAUUACUGCAGUAAAUUGAUGUUUGCUUCUACUAAUUGAAGAAGAACUCAAAGUACGGGCCGCACAGCUCUUACAAAUACGAGCCAAAUAAAUCGUACAAAUACAGCACAGUAGAUUGCAACUUCAUGAAUAUAAUUAGGGCUUUGAUGGAAGUAUAUUUUGUGGAUGAUCCAAACCUUAAUGCUGGAAGACAGGAGGCCCAUCUUAAUAAAUACAUCAAUGAAUUUCGUAUGCAUACUGCGGUGCCAUGAUAUACAGUGAAAGACAUUUAUAUUUCAAUCAAUAUUAAGGGAAAAUAUCAUUGGAUUCUGGCGGUGUUAUCCUUCUAAGAGAGGUGCAUAUUCUUAUUCAUAUGAAUUCAGUGGUCAUUAUGCAGCUGUUCUUGCGGAGGUUGAGCAACUAACAAUGAUUAUUCCAUUGUGUCUCCAAGAUUGUGAUUUCUACGUUAAGAAAGGAAUUGAUCUUCAAAAUCAUCAAAGAUACAAAGACAAAGACUCAUCAGAUAUGUUUGAUGUUUUAUUUGAAGAUAAUUUGCCUCAACAAAGUGGAAGCUUGUAAGUAUUUUAAUAUACAUAUACCAAAAUUGUAAAUUUGUACAAAAAAUAUUUUACUUAUUAUUCAAUUUUUUCUAUUUUUGUAGGGAUUGUGGAUUGUAUACUGUUACUUAUGCAGAGUGCCUUUCAAACGGUGAUAAAGUUUCUUCGAUUGAGUUCAAUCCCAAUGCACUCCAUAGAAGAUAUGUUGCACUAUUAUGGGACUAUGGUAUUCGAAAACAGGAAGCGAAUGCACAUAGUGAUUUCGAAACACCCUUGAGGUCUGUUAGGCAAAGCAGAAUAACUAGUGUCAUUGAAGUUUUAGAUUUAUGAUGGCUAAUGAUUUCUUAAUUGGAUAGGUAACAAACUGAUAUAUGGAUGUGGUUUUAGAUGUAUUUCUGUUUUUUGAAUUGUUGCAGAUACAUUGAUUUUGAACUGCAUAUGUAUAUAGUAUUUUAUUAUGGUGUUCAGUAGUGACAUUUAACUCUAAAAUACAUAUUCAGUUUUUAAUUUUGCUUUAUCAAAUUUAUAUGCAGUGUUCAGACUGCAUAAAAAUGCAUUUAUGAUAAAAAAUACAUAUAAGUUAAAAAUACAUACAAGUUAAAAAUACAUAUCAGUUAAAAAUACAAAUGAAUUAAAAAUACAUAUACAGUAUUAAAAAAAUAUAUUCGAUAAAAAUACAUAUAUGUUGCUAGAAAUACAUGCGAGUUGUAAAUUCAAAAUACAUAGUUAGAUUUCAGAUGUUGUGCAUAUAUACAAAUAAAGUAUUCAGAUUUAUCAAUGUUCAUGUAUCAAAUGUCUUAACACAAAAAAAUUAAGUUCAUUCUAGCUAAAAAUGCAGAAGAAUGCUUUAAGAAAUAAUUUAGAUUACAAAUACAUAUACAGUAAUCAAAUUUUGAUAUAAAAAUACAUAUGCAUUACACACAAUAUGUAUUUUUCAAUGCAAAAUAUCACAUGUAUGGAAUCAUUGCUAAAUUAAUAUGAAACUAUUUAGAGUAGUUGAGAUUUUAAUGCAAAAUGUGACAUCUGAAUUAUUUUGAGAUUUAAUAUAUUUCAGAUAUCAUUUUGAUUUAUAUGGUGAUAAAUAUACAUACGACUGUUAACAAUAAAUAUGAGUAAAAAAUACAUAUUCAAUGUUAAAAAUACAUUUGAGUUACGAAAACAUAUUUAGUGUUUAAACUAAAACUUAGUUGUAUCUACAAAAUGAAAACAUAGUGUUCAGAUUCUGCGAUAUAUACAAAAACAGUAUUCAAAUGUAACAAUGUUAAUAUAUCAAAUAAGGCAUAAAUGUAUUAACACAAAAACAUGAGCUCAUUCUUAUUAAAACUGUAGAUGAAUGCUUCAAAACAUAACGCAGAAAAACAAAUGUUCUAUUUACGAUAUUUUUUACAAAAAGCCUAUUGUGACCCUUAGCCCUACAAGAACUGCAUGAGUUGAUGCUCUUAUUUCCAAACAUAUCCUUGCUUGAUUUUUCCUGAUCCUUCUUUAGAGGUCUUUCUGGACGACGUUUGUACUUCGGAGGCAAUACAAUAUCACCAAGUAUGCUAUCUGAAAUUAUCCAGUCAUCUUUGUGUGGUAAAAAAUAGAUUGAAAUAUCAUAUAUCUUCAACACGGCUUUAGGCUUAUACAAAUCACAAUAGUAUGGCCCCUUCUGAAAAUUCUUAUUAUCCAACACCGCACAAGCAUGUGCACAUGGUAUCUCAUUGAGUUGAAAUUCAUUACAUGAGCAUGUUCUUUCUUUAAGGCAAACAAUGAAGUGUUUUUGUUUGUCUUGCACCGUGUACACAUAUUCUGUUGUUGGAAGAACCUGAUAUUAAAAAGAUGAAAAAGAAAUGUGUAAAUGUACUAAUACAAAAAGAUGGAAAAUGUAUUAAUUGAUAUGUUGUAACCACACAAGAAAUUAUAUUUUUGCUACAUAACAAUACAUUUACAUAUAUAUUUAAUACAAACAAAUUUCAAAAAUAUUAUUAUUUGUUAAUGCAAAAUAUUUUUAUUAUUUUAUAUACAUUACUGCAUAUGAAGUUUUAUGAUUCUGCAAUAAAAAUACAUAUGCAGAAUAAAUACUAUAAUACAUAUGCAGUGUUAAGUUUUUUCCAAUACUAAAAUACAUAUAUAGUGUUAAAUUUUUUCAAUAAUAAAAUGUUAAGUUUUUUCAAUACUAAAAUACAUAUGAAGUUUUCUGAUUCUGCAAUAAAAAUAUAUAUGCAGAAUAAAUAUUAAAAUACAUAUGUAUUUAUUGAUCUACUAAAUAUAUAUGCAGUGUCAAAUUUUUUCAAUACUAAAAUACAUAUGCAGUACAUAUAAUAUGAUUUUCAAUGAAUUAACAUUUUCUGUCAUAUAUGUUUUCAUUGAUUUAGAACUUAAUUCAAGUAAUUCAAUACAUAUGCUUUCAUAAGUAUAAAUGCCACAAAUAUAAAAGAUCAUACCGUCAUACGAGUGCUCAAAGUCUUGUUCUCUGUGAGUAUGUCAUUAAAUUUCCCAAUGAGUGUGGUGAAUGUAUGUGAAGCCUCCUACCUAUUUUCACAAUUUCAUUUUUCAAAAAGCAAUUGAACUUCUUCUAAAAAAAAUCAUAAAUUGGCAGUUCUCUAGCUAAUAGAAGUAUUCCAUUUAUUGACUCAACAAUGUUUGAGGUCAAAAUUCAUCCUUGGUGAACUGUUGCAUAGGACCUAGCCCACUUUUCGUAACCAGCCAAUUUUAAAUAUUUCUUUACUCUAAUAUCAACUGCCUCAACCUUUUUCAUUAACAUGUGGAAUUCUGAUUUUAAAUAUGCUUUGGUCAUUGUAUAAAAGAUUUUCAAUAAUGCAUCAUGUGACUUUCUGUAAAGUUUUUUCACGUUCCUCCAUAGAUGUCACAUACAUGCAUAAUGCGGAACAUCUUUGUACACAUCACCAACAACCUUUAUGAUGCUUGGAUUCCUAUCAGAGACAACACACAUGUUUUGUCUUUUCCUGUACGCUUUCUUUAGAUUUUUAAAAAACCAAGUCCAAGAGGCAUCAUUUUCAGAAUCAAUCACACCAUAUGCUAAAAGAAAUAUAUUCCCUAUAUUUAUAAAUAUAAUUAGUGCAGUCUGAUAUAAAUACAUAUAGUAACUGCAUAUGUAUAUAUUAUAACUACUGAUCAAUAGAACUGUUUAUUUUAUGAAAGUAAUAGUACCAAUUAUAUAUAAUAAAAUGUAAACGCACAUUACAACUAAACAUUAUCAAUUUUACAUGUUUCAUACAACAAACUUUGAAUAUAUAUGUAAGUUUAAACAGAUAUGUAUAUAUCAAAUAGACAUUUGUAUUUCACAGUGAUAUGCAGAAAUACAUAUCAAAACACAACCAGUUUUACAAUGCAAUAAAAUGAUACAAACCUACUCCAUCCAUCGUACAUACUGUUAUAAAUGCUCCAGUAUACAUUCCUCUCAGAUGACUAGCAUCAACAACUACUACAGGUCUACCAUGAUCGAAUCCUUUAAUGAAUAUACAUAGAGUGAUAAAUGCAUACAAGAACUCAUUCUCAUCCGCCUUCUUCAUUCUUAUAUGUGACUCAAGAUAGGUAUUAUUCAAAAUAUAUAAGUAGGUAAUUUCUCGUAAGAUGCUAAUGGCUUACCCCUCAACUCUUCUAACGCUCUUUCCUUGGCCCUCGAACAUAAAGUGUAUGUCAAAUUCAUACCAAUCUCUUCCUUUAUGUCAUUUUUUAUUUCGAUCGCACUGUAUUUUCGUUUGUGAUUUUUUAAUUUCUGUUUAACCAUACCACCUAUCAACAUACUAGUAGCAUGUACCUUUGGAUAGAUCUCUUGUCCUUCACCGAAAAAGUAUGUUGAGGUAUUAAUUCUCUUAUUCUAAACAUUUCAGAUUCUCCCAUACCGGAUGCACGCAUUAAAAAUUUGCACUUUCAUGAUUUGCAAAUCAAUGUAUAACUGCAUCCAACAUAAUUUAAUGCUAUCAAUAUACAUAUUCAAACUUAUUUUUAAACAUGAUCUAAAUGAUAUAGAAUGUACGUACCAUUUUUUACUUGACCUUUCACUUCACGUUUGAAUUUUUUUCUUAUUCUAUAAUCCGUCAUCACUGACUUCAAAAUCUUUUUCAUCAAGUAAACCUGGUUUUCCUCAAUAUGCUUGUGAUGUGGGUCUGAGAUAAUCACCUUAACAGUAUCUAUCUCAAAUACAUCUAAUGCUUGUGUAUCUUCAGAAACCACCAGAGCUCAUUCAUUAGUUGUAUUUAUCACUGUUCGCAAGUUGUUAAAGUUGAAUCUUCUUUCAGCAACACAUAUAUAUAAACUUGCAAAGUUGCUCCCUACAAUUUUCUCCAAAAUGCUUACAUACAAAGAAAGACAAUUCAAGUCUUGUAGCUAUUUUUUUUGUAAAAUAAACACCUUUAAAUUCAUAUCAUUAUGUAUUUCUAUCUACGUUGCAUUACCAGUGAUUUGAUAUUUAACUAGAAUACGUUUGCUGGUUAAGUCCACAUUUAAGUGAGAUGUCAAAAUAUUGUGCAGCUCAACGAAUGUUGUUGUUAUGCUCAACAGUAUAGCAUCAGUGACGUAUUCUUCGUAGUUUUUUUCAUACGUCCACCUUUCAGAGUGUUUCACAAGAACUAGUAUGUUUUCCAUUUCUGACUGAAUUAACCAAAAGUAAACAGAUAUACAUAUUUCAACUAAACAAAAGUUAACUAACUUAUACAACCAACAACUACAAUCGAAAAUACUUAUUCAGAAAUAGAUAUACUCUCACAUUCCGUCAAACAAAUCUCUGAUCAACAAUAAAUACAACCAAAUACAAAAAUUCCUUCAUCAAAUACAAUAAAAACAUAAAAAAGAUCUAUUCAUAAAUACAGUUGUACACUCAAUUUUCGACAAACAAAACUGCAAAAAAACAGAAUUUGAUGAGCAUUAAAAACAGAAUUUGAUUGUAUUUUUUCUAGAUGUUCAAAUUACUAUUGCAUUAAACAUAUCUCAAAUUUUUUUUCGAAAUAGUCAUAAUAGAUUAACAUAGAAGCAGCACUGAAGAUCAAUUCAAAAAAUUUCAGCUAAUCAGCACAAUUAGCUCAGUCAAAAAUACAAUCAAAAUAACAAAAAUCGCUUUGAAAUUAAUCUAUAAUAAAAAAGAAAUAUCGAUUUCAUACAUUCAACAACAGUGAAGGAUGAAUUUACAACCAAUAGAUAAAUUGGGAAAUAUUACCCAGGGAGAAUGUAACGUUGCUUGUCGAAAUAAAAGAAACUAAUUUUUCAAAUUGAAAUUGAUCAACGAAAGACUACUGUUCAAUUGUAGCAAAUUGAAGAUUCAAAGAUAUUUGAUUUGUUUUUGUUCUUUUUUUGGAAUAAUCACGUUCUGAAAUCGUUUUUUGAAUUUUGAAUUUGAUUGUUAGCAAAUAACGAAAAACGCGUUAGUAAUGAGGAUUCAAUGGGAUUGUAAUCAUCACAGUUAAUUAAAGAUAAUUUUACCAUAUAUAGUUGAGUUAAUUAAGGCGUAGUAAAAAUUAUAUAUAUUUGUAUUUUUAUAGCAACAGUUUGCAAAAAUACAAAAUACAACUUGCUAUAUUAUGUAAUUAUGAAACUCAUAAUUAAAGGGAUAAGUAUGUUAUUUCUGAAUUUUGCUCCAAAAAUUAUUAUAUGAUCCAUCAAUAGAAUUAUCAAUAUGGGUCAGGCAUGUUGGCCUGGUCUGACCCAGCCUGCAAUUUAAUAGAGUUGGACUAAAAUAUUUAUCUAAAAAUUAUACAAAUACACAAUUUAUGUUUUCAAUAUUAUAAAAAAUUCCAACUCUAUUAACAUAUUACAAAAAUCCCAACAUAUACACAGAAUGCAACGUAUAUGUUGGCUAUUUUAUGUAUAUUAAUAGGGAAAGNNNNNNNNNNNNNNNCUACUUUCAAAAGUAGGGUUGGUAUUUAUGUUAUUUAUCCAAUUUUUAUAGCCAAUUUUAGAACAGGGCUUUCUAUCCGAUCUGGAUAAGUCCUGUAGCCCAUGGGCUUGAGCAACAUAGGCUAGGCCGGUCUGUGGGCUGAACAAAAAUUAUUAAAAAUAGAAUACUACAAAUACCAAGAGGAGUUCAAACUUAUAAAUAUACUUAAACAAUCAUAAAAAAAGUAAUAUAAAUCUCUAAAUUUUAUAAGGAAUCAAAUAUGUUUGAUGAAGACAACGAGGUGGUGUUGAAUACAUCAUAAGUGUCAUGAAAGUUUUUUUUUUUGACGAGUUUAUUUUCACUUUUAAUGAAUUAAAUAUUGACUUUUUUUGGGUGUUUUUUCUGUGAUCUAUUGAAACAAAAUUAGAUUAAUAUUGUCAUUUAGCUAGCUAUAGUUACUCAUUAAUUGUUUUGUUUGCUUAUCAAUAUCUCUAUUUGAUUUGAACGGUAUUAUGUCAAAAGUUAUUUAGUUUCGUAAAUUGUUAGGAUUUCUUUUGUGAAUUUCAGACUUGAUUAACAAGAUGUAAUAUUAUAUUGUAAUUAUUUAUGUUAAUAAUAUUUAAAAAUUUAAAUUAAGAUUGUACAAAUAAUAUAUUUUUAAAAGUAGGCCUAAGGAGGCCCACAAUCCACAAAGUGAUGGAUCGGGCUUGCUGUCAUCUUGAUGAAUCAGUUCGGCGUGACCCGUCAAAUCCUAAAGAUCGUGUGGACUAGUCUGAAUAGGUCGAGCUGGCUUGUAUUGAUAACUCUAUCCAUCCAUAAUACGAAAAAAUAUUUUUUAGGGUUAUGUAUUACAAGUGUAUUUUUAUCUUUAGAUACUUUAUCUACAUAUUGCUAAUACAUGUAUUAUACUUGAUUUACCUUUUAUUUUAGUAUAUGAAAUAAUGAAAUAGUACAUAUAUUUUUGUAUAACUUAUACCAAUUUUAGUUAUGUAAUAGGUUCAUUUUCAAUAUUAAAAUUGACAUAAAAAAGCGAAAAUGAUAUUAAAGAAUACUGCUCUAUAUAUCAAAACUGCAUGACUUAUGAUAGAACCAAUUUGAAUUGAAAAAGACGAUAAUACCAAGAUUUUUUGUACUUUUUUACCGAUUUCAUAUGACAUAUUUGAAUAAUCUCACGUUAUAUAAGUAAUUUUUAUUAUUAUUAUUUUUAUAAUGAGUUAUAAAAUCCUUCUUCCUUUCAAUCAUGAAUUAUAUGACUGAUACUAUAACGAAACUGAUGACGAAAGAAAAAAUUGGGAACAUUAACCUUCUAAAAAGGGUUUGUUUAAUAUUCAUAAACAGCUCAGCAACAGUCAAUAGCCAGACAAGUGAGGUAUGAUAGGAUGAAUCACAAAGUUUGAAUAAAAUCAAAUUUAAAGCUAAACCUGAACGUUGACUAGAAGAUAUAAUGAAAUAUAAAAUUAAUCAGCAUUUUUUAUUUUUUAUUUUUAAAAAUCAAAAGAAAUAAUUCAAGCCCUUAUUUUAAUUUUUCUGAUUGUAAUAUAUGAAUUAGUUGUAUGAGGAUUAAUAUUCCGACCACAUUUGAUAUUUUAUCUGUUUUUCUUGUUUUAUUGAAUUUUAUUAAAGUUAUUGACACUGAUGUAUGAUUUUAUUUUGUUAGAAGCAUCAACAGGUGCCUUAAAAAAAAUUCUCCAUCACUUUACCAUGCCAACUUGUUGCCUUCUGUGCGUCUUCUUUUUGUUUUUGUUGCCUCCACUUCUUUAAUGGGAGUCUAGGUGAGAUGUUUCUAUCCCUAGCUACUUUGUCAAAUAUAUAUCUGUUCUAUUAUCUUCCUCGUGAAAGAUAUCGUCGCUCAAAUUAAUAGUAUAAGCAUUAGUUGAGUUAAAUCUUGACGCUAAAAACUCCGAUUUAUUCUUUUUUGUAAUUAUAUUUUUAGACACAAAUACUGAAGCUUUUGAACUUAAUUUGGCAUUAAAAAAAAAAAAAAAAGAUAAAACAUGCUCCUGUCAUCAACCAAAUCAACCCACUUAGAAGCAUUGAUCUUUUUUUUUUUUUUACUAAUCUCACAUAAUAUAACUAACUCUUUUUUUUAAAUAAAAAAAAUGAGUUGUACAAUCCUUCUUUCCCUCAAUUAUGCAUCAAACAAAAGUACUCCCUCCGUACCAUUUUAUAUGUCGCCAUUUGACGGGGCACGGAGUUUAAGAAAAAAAGAAAAAUUUGGUAAAGUUUAUCAAAUUAUUCUUUAUAAAAAAAAUGUGUCAAUAUCUUUUUUUUAAUUAAGUGGGAUCAAUAAGGGUAAAAGGGUAAUUAUAUCUUUAAAAAGUUGUCUAAUAAAAUAAGACGACACUUAUUUUGAGAUGAAUUAAAAAGAAAAUAAUGACACAUAAUUUGAGACAGAGAGAAUAUAAUAUUUGUAUCCAUCUGCCCAAUUGUUACAACAAACAGCUAGCCCCAACUAUAAACUAUCCACUUGGAUUGUGAUAUGUGUGAGUGUUUUAAUUUGUCACAUCAUAGUUCAAGCCUCUAGGUCUGAACUGUGCAUGCAUGCACUUCUAUCUAGCGGUGGACAUGGAAUGAUACGAUCUAAUAUCAGAAAUAUCGGUUGGUUUGAUAUUUUAAAGUUUGAUUUUUUAAUAUUUUAUAAUAUAAUAAAUUGAUAAUCAUAGUUUGAUUAGCUGUAACAUAUGUAUACUUAUAUAAUAGAGAAUUAUGACUUUAAUUUUUCAAGAAACAUCUUAAUUAUAUCAUAUUAACACCUUAUACAUAUAAAAAUAUUCAAAAGAAAGCACAUGUAAUUUCCUUUCAAAUACUAUAAUAUCAAAUUUGCAAUAUAAAAUAUGUUGACCUCGAAAUGAUUUCUAUAUCUAUAUAUUGUACCAUGUCCGUUCAUGCUUCUAUCAAAGGAGAAUUAGAUUUAUAUAAUCUCAACAAUAUCUUUCAUCAAAUCAACCAUCAAAUCAACCGUAAAUCAACAAUAAAUGUCUUUUAGACACAUUUAAAAAAUUUUCAAAUUCAAGUCAUAUUAAUAUUUCUCUUUCUUCUUUUUUUUCUUUCUAUUUUCACCCUUUCUUGAUUUGAAUAGACAUAAUGAUGUGACUUUUAAUUUGGUCUUCAUCGAUAUUUAUGCUCUUCAAUUUUAUAUGUAUAUAAAUAAAUAUUUAAAUUUAUAUAAAAUUAAAUAAAUAGUACAAUUUAUGUGAUAAUUCACGUGAAAUUAUAACGUAAGUGUGAUGUACAUAUUACAGAGGAUGCAUGCGUCAAUUUUUAUCACUUUACAUAAGUAUUUACUUAUACACAUUUAAAAGUAAAAAAAAAAAACAUAUUGGAUAAUUGAGUCCAAAUUAAAGAGAAUGGUCAUGAAUUAUACCUUUUUUAAUAGUAUAAAUAAUAUAAAUAUCAAUUUUUUUGGAAGUAAUUACACUCUCUUCUAUUUUUUUAAUUACUACUUUACUCUCUCUCCCUAUUAAUAUACAUAAUAUAGCCGAUAUAUACAUAACAUUUUAUGUAUAUGUUGAAAUUUUUAUAAUAUAUUUAAAGAGUUGAAAUUGUUUGUAAUAUUAAAAAUAAAUUGUAUAUUUGUGUAAUUUUUAAUUUUUAAUAUGGGUAGAUGAGGACAAAUUGGAGUAAUAGCUAGCUUUGAUAAAGAAACAAAAUUGGUCAAAAAUUACAAAGUAAAUACACGUGAAUAUCACAUGAAAAGUAUGUGUCCUUUUUCCCAAUAUCUUCAAUUCAUUUAUUAUUUGGCCACGUGAACACUUCAUUCAGUUCGAAGAACUUUGGCUAAAAGUUAAAACUACAAAUGGGACACACUCCGUAAAUUUUUGGUUCUGGGACAACUUCGUUUAGGGGUUGUUUGGUAGAGUGCAUUGGCAAAAUUAAUAUAUGUAUUAAUUAAUGUGUAUUAUUAAUAUCUUAUUUGAUAUAACUUAAUUAAUGUAUUAUAUAUUUUAUUGUGUAGUAAGAUGUGUAUUACAAAUAUCAUCCAUUUUUUAUAUAUUAGUAAUGCAAAGCCUUUAUACAUGUAUUAACUUAUUAAAUGACCUUAAUACCCCUCAAUUUUCCUCUCAAAAUAUUUUACUAUUUCUUUUCCCGUCAUUUUAAUUUGCAAUAAUGAAUCUUUUCAAAACAUUUCACAAUUUUUUUCCCACCAUUUUAUUCUACAACAAUGAAUAAUUGAUUUAAAUAAUUAUAACAUAUUUUUGUUUUGCUUCGAGGGUCUUUAAAAAGAUUAAAAAAAAUUAAGACUAUUUCUUAAUUUUUCGUGUUAUAUUUUAUUUUUCUUUCGACUAUGUUAAUCCGUUGGUAUAAUAUUUUAUGCGUAAAGACGAAGGUCUUGCAAUUAAUCUGAAACUUUUAUAUACUAGUUCAACAAUACUAAUUAUAUUUGAGAUGACAAAAAAAUUUUGUUGCAAAAAAAGUGUGUAAAAUCAAAGAAGAGUAUUUUUGUAAACAAACAUUUCUUUUAUAGAAAUUAUAUAAGAUGUAUUAUUUCUUCUACAUCAAACUAAACAAUAUAUAAGAAAUAAUACAUACAUAACUAAUACAAGUAUUAGUAUUACUAAUAUACUAUAUUUUGCAUUAAUCUUAUACAUUCUUUCAAAUGAUCCCUUAUUAUACACUAGAAUACAACUUGUCACUUAAAAUGUCACAAUGAAUGUUUCUAGAAUUUUUUUAUUUAAAUUUUUUUAAAAUUCAUAUUAAAACAACUAGUAAAUGUUAUUAUAGGGAAAGCCAAGAAAAAUGGUAGCACUUUUUACAAGAAAGAGAUUACUCUUUAAUAUCCUAAUAUUAUUCAAAAUCUAAAUUUGACACCAAAAAAAUCCCGUGCAGCUCUUAGUUCUUACUCCUAAUAAUUCAUGAUAAUAAAAUAUUCAAGGUUUACAUAAUGUGUUAAUAUUGACAAUAGUAUUGAAUUUGUCACUUUAAAAGAUAGUGAAUUUGGAUCCAUGAUUUUCAACUCCCAAACACUUUAGAAAUUGUUCGAAAAAACAUGUGAUAAGAGAAAAAAAGACUAAACAUAUGGAGGAUUAAAAAAAGACUUUAAAAAUAUAUGGGACGGAGAAUUAGUGUUAGUAGUUGUUCAUUCAACAUAUAUAAUGCAAAUCACAAUAAACACAAAAUUGGGUGUUUUGGUCAAACGAAAUCAAUUAUUAUUUAAAUAUUGUUGUAAUAUUGAUUAUAAUAUUUAAAAAUUAAGGAGUUUUAAAAUAUAUAAGAAAAAAAUAUAUUAAAAAUGAAUAUUGAUAGAUUUUUUUUUAAUGUGAGAAAAGGAGUCUUAAAACAUAUAUGAUAAGACUAAAAAAAGAAAAUAUCAAUUUUUUUCCAUCAAAACAAAAAAUUAGUACUUAACUUAGACGUGGAUUUAAUAUAUGUAAGAGUAAAAAGGAAAAUAUCAAUUUUUUUCCAUCAAAACAAAAAAAUAGUACUUUGUAUUUAACUAUGGCAUGAAAUGGUGCUUUCCAUGGAAAUUAACAAAUAGCAAUAGACGAUUAUGGACAAUUUUUUAAAAGUAUUCUUUAAUUUAGGAAAUCCUUCAACUAUUACUUUUUUUUAGUACAUCUACAUUAUUACCUUCAUUAAAAGUUUUUUAAAAUAGAUAAAAUUAUCUUUUUAUUAUUUUAUUUUAUUUAAUUAUAUUAAUAAUAUUAAAUAUUGAUUAUAAUUAAUGAAUCUAAGGUAAGAUGUAUAAGAAUAAUUAAGGUAGACUUCUUUUUUAUUUAUAAAUCAUAUAUGUCCUAGUUAUUUUAUUGGAGAAAAUUGAAAGUGUUGUAGUAUAAACUAUAUUUUGGUUACAUAUAAGUGUCCUUUUUAGGCAAAGUGUUUUAGAAAUUCUUUUUGUGUAUGAAUCAUACACGUCUUAAUAAUUCCUCGAAAAAAGUAAAGAAGUGUCGUAGGGUCUUAUUUAAUUACUAGUUUAGGUGUAUACGGCUCGCGCGUGUACCUCACUUUAUUGAGUUCACACGUUAUACUAAAUAAGUUUUUUGUUAAAUAAUAAAGAUGAAUACAAUAAUUAAAUUCAACAUCUUUUGGAGAAUUUAUUUAAUUAAAUCUAACCUUUACAAAAAAAAUUGUCAAAGUCGAUCGACAUUCAUCUACCACCUGUAAACUGCAACAAAACAAUACGAUGAUAGAAACAUCAAAACAAUAUAAUUAAGUCUAACCUUUAUACAAAUUUUUUUCUCUAAGUCGUCCGACACUCAUCUACCAUUGUAAACUAUAACAGAAUAAUAUGAUAAUAAAAAUAUCAAAAUAAUACAACUAAAAUUAAUCUCUACACAAAAAAAUUCUCAAAAUAGAGAUAUAAAAACAAUACAAUUAGACCUAACCUUUACCUACAAAAAUUUCUCAAAGCCGAGUAAAUUAAUUGAAUGAAAAUAAAGAAAAUAUAUAUGCACACACGUUGAACUGUAUUAUUAAGCAUCUACCAAUCUAGAGCAUCAAUCAUAUUUUUUCAAUAAGUAAAUCGAUUUCUUCUCUAGUUUAACGUGCAUCUCAAUAUAUUUAUAAAAGUAUUUUCUUAAUACAUUCCUAUUUUAAUAGUAUUUCUCUAUCCUAUUUUUAGGAGUAUUUUUCUAAUUAAUCACUACAAAAAAAAUAUUAACUAAUUCUCUUUUUAUAUAUUUUAGGAUUCAGGUUAAUAUAAUAUAAAAAAGAAAGUCAAACUAUUACCCAUUAAAAAUAUAGAAAUGCUUUUUAUACGAAAUUCCAACUUUUGUACUUCUUUUUAUUUUUAUAAGAGAUAAUGCAUCCCUCCGAACUUGUCUUUCCAACUUACUUUAUCACUUAAACUAACAUUUCAUUUAUUUACCCCCUUAACAUCUUUGGAGUGAAUUAAUUUCACCCCUUAAUAUAUAAUUCCACUCUCAUGAGCGAGAGUACAUCACACUCACUGACACGUCAGCGCCACGUAAAUAAAGUAUUUUUUUUAUAUUAUAUAUAUAUAUAUACAUAUAUAUUUACAUAUUUUUAAAUAUAUAUAAAAUAUUUUAAAUAUAAAAUAUUUUAAAUUUUAAAAAUAACCCCAUCCCCCAUUUUCCAUCUUCUUCAUAACCCCCCAUCCCCCCCUCUCCCGUCCACCACCACACCUGCACAUACCCCGUCCACCCCAGUUCACCCCCACACUGCCAUACCUACACACACCCUCAUCCAUCUCCGUCCAACCCCAACAUCCACAACUGCACACACACGCCAUAAUUUUUGGCGAAUUUUCGUCGAAAAACUCUAUUACCACCAUAAAAAAAUACCAUAAAAUAGUGAUAAAAAAACCCAACACCUGGUAAAUUAGAUCAAAUCAACACCAAAUUCUCUAAAAUCAACAACCAAACAUUCAAAUCAUGUCAAUUUUUUAAUUUUUAAAUUCAAUUUCAUUUCUUUUUUUAUUGGGGAUGAAGGAGGAGAAAUUGGAAGUAGGGGUGUGAUUUGGUAAUUGAAGAAGUAAUUGGGGUUAGAUUUAGGAGGGGGGUGUUGGUGGUGGUUGUUGGCGGGUUUGGGAGGGACUAGGAUGGGGUGGGAUGGCCGGGGUGGCGGGGGGAGGAGUGUUAGAAGAAGGAGAGAAAUAUAUAUGUAUAUAUAUAUAGAUAUUAGUAUUUUUUAAAAAAAAUUACCGUUCACGCAUUUCUUUUUCUUUUUUUUUUUUUAAAUGUCAUGUCAGUAUAAGGUGUGAAAAUAAUUCAGUUGAAAGAUGUUAAGGAAGAUAAAUAAUUAUUCAUAAAAUUUAAGUACUAAGUGAGUUGGAAAGAUAAGUUUAGAAGGUUUUGAUGUAUUAUCUCUAAAAUUAAAAACAAAAGAAAAAUGUGAAGCCAUAAGAUGACCUUGACCUUCCAUUCUAAUUACCAUACCUAGGAGAAAAGGCUAGAACCUGCCCUAUGGGAUAUUUAAUUUCCAUUUCUUGUAGGAAAUAUUAUGUGCAAAAGUGCCCAAGUUUUCAAAAGUUACCUUCAAUAAACAAAGAUGUAAAAGAACCUUUUUCCAUAUAUUUUAGGAGUCUUUAAUUCAAAUACAUUUCUUUCUAUAUAUUUUAGGAGUUCAGUUAAUAUUAUAAAUAUAAUUAAAUAAUAAUUAUGAGAAAAAUAGUGAAAAGACAAUUUUGUCAAAAGCAAAGACUUUUAAUAAAGGGUAAAAAGUUCAAAUCAUUUUUCUAAGGAUUUUUACACUUUUAAUAUAUUAUAUUAUAUAUAGAUUAUAGAUUAUAGAUUAUAGAUAUAGAUAUAGAUAAUACUUAAUAUUAAUUAUAACUAAUGAGUUCAACAUAUCUAUCUAUAGUAUAUUAAAAGUGUAAAAGAUAUUAGAAAUGUUGUUUGAACUUUUUUUUUCCUUCAUUGAAAGUAUCUGCUUCAGACAAAAUUUUCUUUUUACUAUUUCUGCUAAUAUUAAGAAUUGAAAAAUAAUUAAGUAUUUAUAGUAAAACAUUUUCUUAUUAGAAGUUAUCAAAUUCAUCACAACUAAUUUUUUUUUCAUUAGUUUAAAAUUAAUUAAAUAUUUAUCAUAAUACUUCUCCUUUAGAAGUCAUCAGAAUUCAUGAAAGCUAAUAUUUUUUUCAUUAAUUUAAGAAUUCUAAAUCAACUAAAUUUGAUUUUAAGAAGAUUUAUCUAGAAAUAAAUAUAAAAGCGUUUAAAUAAUAAAAAUUUAGGAAAUACCAGUUUUUGCUUUAGACAAAAUCGUCUAUUCACUAUUUUUUUUUAAUAUUUAAAAGUUGAAAAUUUAUUAAAUAUAUUUGUGGUAAAACCUUUCCUUAUUAGAAGUCAUCGGAAUUAAUGAUAACUAAUAUUUUUUUUAUUAAUUUAAGAAUUCUAAUCAACUAAAUUUAAUUUUAAAAAGAUUUAAAAAAUCUAUAAACCUACAUCUACAAUCUACAUCUACAAUAUAUUAAAAAUGUGAAAACUCAUAAAAAAAUAAUAGUUGUUAUGAAAUAAUAAAGAAUAAAUAAGAAGAGUAGAGAAAGAAUAGAAAGUAAUUCUUAUUUCUCUUGCAGGAUGAAUUACAACGAAUAAAACCCCUUUAUUUAUAGGGGAAAACUAAACUUGGGGAUUUGUAACUUUUUCAUAAAUAGACAUGCACAAUAUAUGGUAAAGUAGAUAUUCACUAUAUAUAGUAAAAUAGACAUUUACUAUAUAUGGUACAUUUAUAACACUCCCCCUUGAAUGUCUAAUUGAUAGAUAAUACGCAUAUAUGUUGCUUCAUUAAAAACCCUACAAGGAAAACCCAGUGGUAUAAAACCUCGUAAGGCAAAAAGAGUACAGCGCGUAUUAACUCCCCUUAAUGAGAACAUUCUUGAACCUUUGCAUUCCGAUCUUGUGCACCAUCUUCUUGAAAGUUGCAGUUGGAAGAGACUUGGUGAAUAAAUCAGCCACAUCUACAAUAUAUUAAAAGUGUGAAAACUCAUAAAAAAAGUAAUAGUUGUUAUGAAAUAAUAAAUAACAAAUAAGAAGAGUAGAGAAAGAAUAGAGAGUAAUUCUUAUUUCUCUUGAAUGAUGAAUUACAACGAAGAAAACCCUUUUAUUUAUAAGGGAAAACUAACCUUGGGGAUUUGUAACUUUUUCAUAAAUAGACAUUCACAAUAUAUGGUAAAGUAGGUAUUCACUAUAUAUAGUAAAGUAGACAUUCACUAUAUAUGGUACAUUUAUAACACUCCCUCUUGAAUGUCUAAUUGAUAUAUAAUACACAUAUAUAUUGCUUCAUUAAAAACCUUACAAGGAAAACCCAAUGGGAUAAAACCUCUUAAGGGAAAAAGAGUACAACGCGUAUUAACUCCCCUUAAUGAGAACAUCCUUGAACCUUUGUAUUCCGAUCUUGUGCAGCAUCUUCUUGAAAGUUGCAGUUGGAAGAGACUUGGUGAAUAAAUCAGCCACAUUAUCACUUGAACGAAUCGGUUGUACAUUAAUAUCACCAUUCUUUUGGAACUCAUGUAUAUAGAAAAGCUUUGGUGAAAUGUACGUCGUGCUAUCUCCUUUUAUGAAUCCUCCCUUAAGAUGUGCUAUGCAUGCUGCAUUAUCUCUGUAUAAAACUGUGAGUACAUUGUCACAUUUCAAAUCACAUUUUUCUCGAAUGAGAUGUAUCAUGAACCUCAACCACACACAUUCUCGGUUUGUUUCAUGAAUAGCUAUUCUCUCAACAUGAUUCGAUGAAGUGGCUAUGAUAGACUGCUUUGUAUAUCUCUAAGAUAUGACAAUACCACCACAUAUAAACACACAGCUUGUUUGAGAUCGAGCUUUAUGUGGGUCAGAUAAGUACCCAACAUCAGCAUGUCCAAUAGAACGGAACUACAAUCUUGCUAACAAAUUAACUGAAAAGGCUAUCUCAAGCCUUAUAGUAUUUGCAAGAUAUAUGAGUACACCAAUUGCACUAAGAUAUGGUACUUCAUAACUAAUUCAAAUUGAUAUAUUUCACAUUUCAGCAAAUAAUGUAUUGCUUUAGAAAACUCUGCAAGAGUUUCAAUAAUAUUCAAACCAUCAACUUAUUCCUUAUAAGGAUAAUAAAUAAGUUUCUCGAAAACUUUAUAUGGUUUAGGCAUUCUGAAUCCUUUAGGGAUUUUCAUCUAGAUUUCUGUCAAGUGACAAUAUUCAAUAUUUCACGUGUGACAUCUUCGAGUGGACUGCAAAUCAAAUAAGUUUUAUGUUUAUCAAGAUGCAUCUUUUCAUGUCACUUAAUAAGUGUUUCUACGUCAUCAUGCUUAAAUUAACGUAGAAUUCAAAUCCUCGUAAUCUUUCACAAUAUUGCUCCAAUAUUGUAUCAAAUAUAUUGAUGAUAUUUCAUUUCGUAUCGGUUCACAGUGUGACAUAACAUUUUGAGAUCUCAUCACUUUAUUAUUUUCAGGUACCUGAACCUCUCAUAAGGUUUCAUGAAGUGUUAUGUCGUAUGCUCUUCAAGAGUACAUUGCCUUCUUAUUAUGAUUUUUUGCUCAUUAUCCUUUAUAAGAAUUAUUUCAUUUGGAAUCGAUUGGUCUACCACACUUCAUAUAUGCAUAGACUUUGUCCUUUAGGGACACAAAAUAGGAGCACUUGUAGCUUAAAUAUGAGAUAUGCAUUCGGCAUUUUACUUGAACUAUCUUUUGAAUGAGGAUAUGAUGAUAAUUCCUAAUAUAUUUCAUAGCCGCUUAUAAUCUCCCCCUUAUGUUAGGAAAACUAACAUACAUCCUCCAUUUUAUUUGAGGAAUCCAUCUUUGUGCAUCAUGGUAUAUUCAUUAAUCGUAUAUUGCACAUUAAAACUAUUAGAUGAAAUAGUUGGUUCUGACCUUAAACCAAUUGGGAGGGAAGAAAUAAUCAUAAUUUAUUGGUCUAAUGCAUACAAGUGUUAUUGUAUGCAACAUAUCAUAUUUCAGACCAACACAUGAAGUUUUGUUUUUAUUAGCAAUGAUUUAGCUAUUUAUCGAAGGCAUUCAAUGUCAAACCAUCGUCAUCAAGAUGAAUUGUCUUGAUUCUAUAAUCUAAAAGUUAUACUCUUAACUCAAUUUUAUCAAGCAAGCAACUUUAUGAAUGUCAAACUGCAGGUUGACAAUAAAUUACACAGUGAUCAUCUUAUUGAUGCAUCUUAAUAGAUCACAUGAUAGGUGAACGGGCCCUUAUUCACCCUUUAUACUUUUCAGAUUUUAAGGAAUUCAAUCCCAAAAUUAAUUGGUCCAACCAACUUAUCAUGAGAACAAACAACAUUAAAAGUAAUGAAGAAUUUUCUAAUUCUUCAAUCUAUGUUCAAUACUCAGUAUGCAUAUCUUUGGGAUAUCGCAAUCGUUCAUGUCAAUUUAUGAACUUUUAUUAGAGCAAAUUCCAAGUUUACCAUGACAUGUAAACUUUUACUUUAAUAAAUUUUAGUUUUACUAUUACAUGAAUAAAUUUCAGAUUUUACUUUAGAAUUAGAUUUCAAAAUAACUCUUCUCAAUUAUUUUGCCUCUUACGGAGGUGGAUUGUGAUUUCCUUACAACCACGAGCACGUUCAAAUUUAUAUACAGUCACAUUUACCCCCAGGGUCUAGAUCUGUAUUUAUAAUAAUCAAAAUUCUCAUUCCCGAAGAAUAGAAUAUAAUCGUUCCUUAGACAUAUCAAUUUAUGAUAGCUUAGAACCUUCUCUUUCAAGAUAUUGUUAGUUCAAGAGCAAAUCGAGGCAUGCAUAUAAUGUAGAGAAUUUUUCUCUUAACAUAUCUUUCAGAGUACAGCAUAUAUUGCUACCACAUUCACUUUAAAAAUGGAGCAAAUUGUCAUCUUUCAGACUAAUCAUAUAGUGCUACCGCAUUCACUUCAAGAAUGGAGCAAUUUGACUUAUCAUAUAUUGCAACCAUAUUCACUUCUUGGAAUGGAGCAUAUUCAGAGGGAUAGAUUCAUGUCUAUUUAUCAAAAAUACAUUAUUUUGCCUUAGUCAUCGUUAUAUUAUCAAUAUGGUGUAUUGAGAUUCAAACUCAACGUCUUAUUCAUAUAAAAGCGUCUUAUGCAUAAAUCGAUGGGACUUGAACCCAUGCAUGCAUUCAUAUCGUACUUUUGGGAGGAUGACCAUCUUCAAGUGGUCAAAUAUUUCUUUUAGGCUAUUCCACAAAACAAGUGGAUCCUUAGUAGUAAGGUAUUCAAUUUUCAGAAUUUCGUCAAGAUGAUGACGCAACAAAAUCAUAGCCUUAGCAUGAUUUUAAUGAGAUGUUGUAUUUUUUUCUUAUGGCGUCUCCAAGACCCAUAACAUAUAAGUGGAUUUCAGCAUUCAAUACUCAUUAAAGGUAAUUUUUACUCGAGGCAACGAACUCAGAUUUUGUAAGAUUAUUAGUAAUAUGAAAAGAAAGAAAAUAAUACCUUAGCCUUCAAAUUUGAUACGACAGAGUCUCGUACUGAUAGCGUGUUAUGAAAUAAUAAAGAACAAAGAAGAAGAGUAGAGAGAGAAUUGAGAGUAAUUCUUAUUUCUCUUGAGGGAUGAACUACAAUGAAGAAAAUCGCUUUAUUUAUAGGGAAAAACUAACCUUGGGGUUUGUAACUUUUCCAUAAAUAGACAUACACAAUAUAUGGUAAGGUAGGUAUUCACUAUAUAUGGUAAAGUAGAAAUUCAAUAUAUAUGGUACAUUUAUAACAAUAGUUUAAAACUAACUAAAAUUUGAUUUUUACAAAGUUGCCCAAAUAUUAGUAUAGCACGUGUUACUACUAUUUAUGAUGUGUAUUGUUUUUGCUUCGUAUAGAAUUAAAACUUGAUUUAUUUACUUUACAAAACUGCUUUUUAUUUCUUCUUUUUUGUACUUCUUUUAAAAAAUCAAAGUUGGUUUGGGAUUUUUGCUUUUAAAUAAGUUAAUAUUAUGCAUUAUUUAGGUUGGGACUUUUUAUUAAGUCAAUUAUACAUUAUUUAGAUUUUUUGAAGUUAAUUAAAGUUCUUAUUUCAUCUACAAGAACUCACAGUAUUUAAUACUUCUAAAUCAAUUAAAAUUUCACCUUAUAUAAAAAGAACUUUUACAACUCUGUUUAAGUGAUAUUUUCAAUCAAAUUUUAUAAGAAACAUAAACAUUGGCUAUUUUAUUUUUUAUUUUCUUCUUAUUUUGAUUUUGAUUCAAGUCAUAUUAUUACGUUCAUUGUCAUCAUCAUAGUUUUUUUUCUUUAUUUGAUUUUCAGUUCACUUACUUCUUUCUCUUUGUUUUUACUUUUCCAGGUUCCAAAACAUGCGUAGGGUAAAAAUAAGUUUAUGUAUAGAAUUUUCUUAUUCAAUGAAAUCUUGAUAGUAUCUAUGAUUAAGACAAUAAAUUUGUUUGUGAUUUAAGGUAAGUUUUUAAAAUUUUUAGUAUAUUUUUAAAGUAUACGAUAAAUAAAUUAUCAUCUAUUGUUGAUAAAAAACUAUUAAUUGAUAAAUAUUUUGUGAUUUUUAUUUUUAAUGACUCAUGUGCAAUUAAUAAUUUAAAAUUAACUUAUUUGCAAUUUUAAAAUCCUAAAAUAUAUAGUAAGAAAGACAAUAUUAUCAAUAGUGUAGGUAGAUUUUACGUGAAAAAAGAACUCCUAAUUCUAUUGUUUCACGAACUCUAUGUGUACGCUGCAUAUGUUUAAGCUCAAAUCUGAGAUGUCAAAAUACGUUUCUUAAGAUUAUCCUUCAAACCAGUCCCAAACCAGUCAAAAAGUUGUCCACAACAAUAACCUGCACAAUUAUAAAGAAGUUUCUCACUGCAUAAUAAGGUGGAUCCAUAAGGGCAUCAUUCUAUUAGCUGAUUUUAUUUUACUCUAUUAAGCAUUCACUCGGAAGACCCAUGAAAACACUAAAAGUAUUUCCAUACACAAACCCUAGGGGUGGGGUGGGGGGGAUAAGAAAUAAAUAAUAGGAUUAUAAGUUAGAAGAUACCGAUGAGCCGAUAGAUGAUUGAAAGUUAGAACAAGAAGUUACCUCAUUCUUCUCAUUCUCCAUCAGUUUGUCGACUAGGUGAGAACCAAUAAAUCCAGCUCCUCCAGUAACCAAAAGUUUCAUUUUAGAAUGCAACCAGAAAUAAAAUAUUUUAGCAGACGUGGAUUAAUCGUCUUUUCACUAUUUUUCUAAUAUUUAAGAGUUUGAAAAUUAAUUAAAAUACUUAUAGUAAACAUUUUCUUAUUGGAAGUCAUCACAAUUAGUUACAACUAACACAUUUUUCAUUAGUUUAAAAAUUCUAAAUCAACUAAAACUGAUUUUAAUAACCAUUGAAAAAUAUAGAAAUAAAUAUGAAAUCAUUAGCAUAAGAAAAUACAAGAAAUAUCAAAUUUGUAAAAGUUUUAAGUAAGUAAUCAAAGAUUUUCUAAAGAUAUAAAUUUAAAAAUAAGAAAAGAUUUUAAAUAUAGAAAAAAUAAAAAAAAUAGCCGUAAUAUAAAUAUGAUUUAAACCGGUGCGUCUCUCUUAGCCCCUAGUAGCAAGGAAAAGAUGUACUGCAUGACAAACGCAAAAGUACCAUUAACCACUUGAAACUUCUACGCGGUAAAAUAUAUAUGGGCUUACAGUAUCAUUAAGAACCUUCGUAAUACACAAAAUCAUGUAAUUUCAAAUCAUCAAAAGUUACAUGUGCGAAGCAUGUGCGGCUAAACUAGUAUACUAGACAUCAAAGGGAUAUCUGUUAUUUUUCUAUCUCAGUUUAUGUGACAUAAAUAUAAUUGAGAUAAUUAAUCAUAAUAAAUUAAAUUUUUUAUUAUUAUAAUUUAUAAUUUUUUUUCUAUUCCAAUUUAAGUAAUACUAAUAUAAUUUCGAGAGUCAAUCGAAUAUUUUAUAUUUUUUAUAUUCUAAAGUUGUUAAUUAUGUAAUUUAUAAAGCUUUUAACAUAAUUUUUUAAUAAGAUAUUAAUAUUACUUCUCUGUCUCAGUUUACGUGUCUUCUUAUUUUUAAAUAAUAUUAGUUUAAGUAUACGUGCCUUGCGCGUGUACCUUACUUUAAUGAGUUCAAACAUUACACUAAAUACAAUAUUUAUUUAAAUAAUAAAAAUAAAUAUAAUAAUUAAAUUUAAUAUCUUUUGAUUAUGUAAAUAUGGAGAAUUUAUUUAUUAAACUUAACCUUUACCGAAAAUAUUUUUAAAAGUCGAUCGACAUUCAUCUACCAUCUGUAAAUUGCAACAAAAUAACACAAUGAUAGAGAUAUCAAAAUAAUACAAUUAAAUCUAAUCUUUACGCAUAAUUUUUUUUCCAAAGUUGUCUGACACUCAUCUACCACCUGUAAACAGUAACAAAAUAAUACGAUAAUAGAGAUAUCAAAAUAAUACAACUAAAACUAACCUUUACAUAAAAAAAUUUCUCAAAGCCGACAAAUAUUUAUCUAUCACCUGUAAAUUGCAACAAAAUAAUACGAUAAAAGUGAUAUAAAAAAUACAAUUAAACUUAAAUUUUACACACAAAAAUUUUUCAAAGCCGAUCGAGAUUCAUCUACGAACUGUAAAUUACCACAAAAUAACAAACUAAUAGAGAUAUUAUGAUAAUACAAUUAAACCUAGCUUUUACCUAGAGAAAAAUUCAAAGCCGGCCCAUAUUCAUCUAGCAUCUAUAAAUUAAAAUGAAAUAAUAAGAUAAUAAAAAUAUCAACCGACAUUCAUCUACGACUUGUAAACUAUUUAAAAAAAAUAAUAUAAUAGUGAUCACAAAGCUUCGAUCUUGAUCCAACUAAUUCUUGUCUGAACAAAAAUUUUGACCCUAAAAAAUGAUUUUAAAUGAAAACAAAGAAGAUAUAUAUAUAUAUAUACUAGUUUAACGUACAUCUCAAUAUUUAUAGAAGUAUUUCCUUAAUAGAGUCCUAUUUUAGGAGUAUUUUUCUAAUCGAACAGUAGAAAGAAAAAUAUUAAUUAAUUCUCCUACCAUAUAUUUUAGGAGUUCCAUAUAUUUUAGGAAAUCUAAUAGAAAAUAAAAUAUUAAUUAAUUUUUCUACCAUAUAUUUUAGGAGCCCCAUAUAUUUUAGGAAGUCUAGUUAAUAUAAUAAAAAUAAUUAAAUAAUAAAUUAAAAAUAGUGAAAAAAUAAUUUUGUCUAAAGAAGAGUCUUCUAAUGAAGGCAAAAAGUCCAAAUCUCUUUUCUAAGAGUCUUCACACUUUUGAUAUAUUAUUAUAUGGCUAUAUAGAUUAUAGAUAUAGAUAUAUUACUUUAUGUCUUUUUUGUUCCAUCGUAAUUUAUAUGACACUAAUAUAUUUUUGAUAGUCAACUGAAUAUUUUAUGUUGACAUAUCAUUUUGUGUCUAUUUUACUUUUUUUAUGAAAUAUUAUUAAUUUUUUUAUGCUUAAAUAACCAUAAAAAUUAAUUAGGAGUGAUAUAAUAAUAUCACGAUUGAAACAGCGAAGCAGACAUGUCUUAAAUGACUUAUAAUAACUAAUAAGAAGUGAUAGAACAAAAUUACUAUAAAAAAUACUUGUGAAAAAAAUUUAAAUGAAUCUCAUAUAAAAUAUCAAGUUAAUUUAAAACAUCAAGAGUUGAUUUAUCAUUUUAUGUCUAAUUUAUCCUUUUUAUUAAAUAUUAUUAAUUUUUUAAUACUUAGGUGACUUAUAAUAAUUAACUAAAGGUGAUAUAGUAAAAUUACGAUUGAAGCAGUGAAGAAGGUAGCAUAAAACAUCAAGAGUUAAUUUAUCAUUUUAUUUCUAUUUUAUUUUUAAUUAAAUAUUAUUAAUUUUUGAAUACUUAAACGACUUAUAAUAAUUAAUUAGGAAUGAUACAGGAAAAUUAUGAUUGAAGCCGGUAGCACAAUCAAAUAUAUCGACCUCGUGCCUGCUUGUUGCCCUUUAUUAUUAGUAUUAGUAUUUUAAUAUUUUCCUCAAAAGUUUAUGUUGAUUUUCUUUGGUCAUGUGUGUCGACAAAUGUAGAUUCCUAUAUAUUUUGAUAAUUUUUCAUAAGAUAUUUGAUAGCUAUUUUGAGGCUCGAUUAAUUCAAUUGAGCUGAAAGGUUUUACUACUAAAAAUAAGAAAUACAAAACGCUUAUAAUUUUACUACAAUUUUUGGUGGUGCAUUGACUAAUAUAUGAGCAGUAGUCUAAUUUAAAUUGUUAGAAAAAAUAUAUUUCUAUUAUUUAAUUAUAUUCAAAAUAUGCUUACUCAUAUGUUAGGUCUGAUUUUUUUUCACGAGUCAAAUAUACAUAAAAAAAAUUUGAUAAUGUUUGUCGAUAAGAUUUGAUUUCAAAAUUUCUACCUAUUCUGAAAUCAUAUUGAAGUGUGUGAGCAUCUCAAUCUCCUAUUCCAAAUAUAUUUUUUUUCAUUACUAGUAUUAGUACCCGCAUGAUGCGCGGUCGAUAUUAAAUGAAAUUAAUUAUAAAUAUUAUUAUCUUAUUGAUUUUAUAUAAUAAAAAAUUUAUUCAAUAUCAUUCACAUAUUUGAAAUUAAUAAAUUUAUGCAAUACGAAAAAUAAUUAUUAAAAUAUUAAAUUUAAUAUCAUUAAUUAUAUAAAACUUAAACAUUUCUUUUCGAAAGUUAAUAUCCGCGUGCAAAUAAUAUUAUAUUAUAAUAUAAUUAUUUGAGAAUAUUAAUAAUAUUGUGAUCUAUAUUGAUUUAUUUUGUAAAAAAAAUCAUAUGAUUACAAAAGAAAAUACAUAUUUAACAUAAUUAUUAUUAAUUAAGUGACUUACUUCUAAGUUUAGUUAGAAAAAUAAAGAACUAAUGAAAGAUAUGCUUUAGAGUUAUGCACGUGAAGCUUCUUUGUAAAAUUUUAACUUGAAAUUUAAAUUCUUUUAUAUUAAAUAUUUCAAUUUGCACCCUUUUAUCAAGAAGAAGAAAGGAGUUCCCCUUCUCUUUUCUUGUCUUAAUAGAUUUUUCUUUCAUAGUAGAUUUUGGAUUCCUUUGCACGAUCUUAGCCAUAGUAUAUUUUUGAUAAAUUUAAAAUAUUUUUGCAUCAAGACAAAUAUUUUGAGCAAAGUCUCGAUAAUAGUCAAUUUUUUCUCUCUCAUAUUUUUUUAUUAUCAUUUUUUCAACAAAUAACUUAUAACAUUAUCUAAAGUCCUAACAUGUUUGCACGAUUUCACAAUGUUCACUUAUUCUCUUAUGAUAAUAGACCAACAAAUAUUAAUGAAUCUCAUUAUAUAUUAUUUUUUUGAAUAAAAGGUUUAGUUCUUCAUAGGUUUGAAUACUUACUCUUCAACUCUAUUUUCGAUCAACCCUAUCAUACUUUCUCAAUUUACUCAACUUGAAUGAAAUUAUAAAUAUUAAUCACUAUCAAAAUUGAAUUCCCUCCUAUCUUAGAACAUUCAACUAAUACUUAACCCCUCAUGUUCAUCAGUACAAUAAGAUAUUAAUCUUAUUCAUCUUUAUCCUUUAUAUUGUACAAAGUAGAUCAAAAUAAUCAUUGUACCAAAAGAUCUACAAUAUUCUAAAAUUAGAGUUACAAAUACAAAGAUAAACAUGGUUGAACUCAUUGUCUGUUUAUAUCGACUAAAACAAAAAAAAAAAAGAAAGAAAGUUUGUAGCAUAGUAUUUAUAAAUAACAAAUGAUAAAUGACCUUUACUAUCAAAUUAGUACAAUAUGCUACGUAAAAGUAAAAUAAUAUUUACAGUAAGAAUUUAAAUAUAAUGAAUUUGAAAAAAUCAAUAUUCGUAAUUGAUUUAUUGAAUUUGAGCAUUGCCCAUUGGGCAUCAGCCACAAGAUACUCACUCAAAUUUUGAUCUUCGAGAUAUCGCUUUUGAGAUAGUAAUCCUAGUGUCGGAUAAAUUUUAUAGAUAGUUAUACAACUAUCAUUUUUUUACUAAGGUCACUUAACUAUCAUUCCUAAUACAAUAUCACAAAAUUUUUAAUAUACUAUUAAAAUCACACAAUUUAAUUUAUAAAUAAUUGUUAAUCAUAACAUAUAGAAAUAUAGUAUAGACAAAUCAAGUGUUAAUCCUAAUAUAUAGAAACAUAAUGGAUUAGUAAUUUAGUAUCAUAGUUUAUUAAUUUUUGAAAUCAUAUUAUUAUCUCACUAAAAUCUAAAGUAACAAUAUUUGCAAUGCAAGAAAAUCAACUAUCUAAUAUCAAUAUUAGUUUCUUCAUAUUUAAUGUAUAACUUGUAAAUUUUUAUGUUAUUGCUAAAAUUCUCAUUGUACAUUUCGACCGAGAUGAAUUUUUAUAAGUCUUUAAAAAUGUAUGAAAUAUUAAAAGAUCACUAACUUAAAUCUUCAAAGAGUACAGAUUAUAUUUUUUUUUUAUAAAACACAAAGUACAUGAAUACUGACUCAUAAAUUUUUCACUAAACAUGUAGAAAAUAAAACGAAUACGCAACAUAACCUGUAUAUUUAAUUGACUUUAUAAAUCAAGAAAAAUCUAUUCUAAAACAAUACUCAAGGUAAAUUGAGAUUCUAGCGAUUAUCAGGACAAGAUAAGUUGUGGCAAAAAUCACUUGCACAAUUCAUCUUCUCCAAUAUGUUAUGGCAGAAACUAAUUAGCGUUUACUGAGUGUAUCCUUCUUAUAUAGUGGUAAAUUUUUAUGGCAUUAGAAAUUCUAGAUUAAUUGUUGUUGGUACAAUAUUUUCAUAUAUAUGAGAAUAAUUGUUAAUUGAUUAUUCAUUUUCUAUUUAUAUGUUUCAAUCAAUUUUGUCAUGCUUCCUUAAUUGACUUACAUUGAAGGAAAUCAUAAAUACUUUUUGUCAUAUAAAUAUUCAUUCUAUAGUAAUACUUUAAUUGCAUAUAUUCUAAUUUAUUAGUAACUCACACCUACAUUUCAUCAUAUAAAAAUUAUUAUAAAUUUUUAUUAUUAAGAAAUAUUUAUUCCUAAUUCAUUUUAUUGAUCUGCACAUUUAAAUUUUUAUAUAAUAUAAUUUAAUCUUUUUUAAUUAAUGUUUGUUCAUCAAAACGAAGUAUCUUUUUCAAAUUUGAUUAUUUUAAAAUUCAAAAUUAUUCUUACAAACAUAUAUAAGGUUAUAUAAUUAGUCAAUUAAAGAAUAAUUUUGUAAGGCAAAAUUUUAUUUGACUUCAAAUAUUAGUUAGGACUAUGUAAUUUUAAUAGUUAUUUUCAAUAAACAUUAUGCAAUCUUUUCUGUGUAGUAAUAUUCAUUUUUUAAAAAAAUUAAUAUUCAUUUAUUUUCAAUCUAUUCUCCUUUUAAAUUCAAGACUAUCUUUUAUUCAUUUCCUAAUAUAGAAUGAUAGUGUAAUUACUCAUUGGUGGUUAUCCUAAAUUAUGAAAAUCCUUUCAUAAAAUAUGAAUGCAUAUUAUUUUAAAUAUGGAUUACUUAAAAUAUAUCGAAUGAAAAUCCUUCCAAUAAAUAUGAAUGCAUAUUUUUGGAAUAAAAUUACUUGAUAUAUAUUGAAAUAAAUUUCUUCCAUUUUGUAGUCCAAUGUUACCAUUUGAGUGAUCACAUAUUUUUCAUAAUAUUUUUAAUUUUAGAAUAACUCUUUGAUUAUUAUAUAUUUUUUUCCAUAUAAGUUGUUUUAUUAAUAAUUGAUUAUUCUCUUAAUUGAUAUUUCUUGGUAUUUUCUUGAUUUAGUCAAUUGUGAUCAAAUCAUAAAUGUUCUUUUUUUUCUAUAUAAUAUUAUUAUUUAAAUUAAUUAUACACACAUUUUGAUCGAUUACAUCUUUUUCAUAAUAUUUUUAAUUUUGGAAGGACUCAUUUGUCAUAAAAAUCUUUUUCAUAUAAGUUACUUGAUUAUUAAAUUAGUUGUUCUCUAAUUAAUUUUUUUGUAAUACUUUUUUAUUUACUAAAUUGUAGUGAAAUCAUAAAUGUUUUUAAAAUAAUAUUAUUAUUUAAAUUAAUUAUGUAUAUUUUUUUAGGGAUAACAUUUUUUAAUAAUAUUUUUUAAUUUUGAAAUUUUUAUAAAUGUAUUUACAUUAUAGUGAAUGUCUAUCAAGACCUACUUCUUCUUUAUUCUUUAUUAUUUCAUAGCACGUUAUUAGCACGAAGCUGUAACCAAUUGAGUAAUAAUUGAGAUAAAGCCGCCCAAAACGUGAUCUGUCAAUUGCUCAACAUGCUUGAGGUAUUAUUUUUCUUUUAAUAAUUCCUCAUGAGGUAUGAUUUCUUUUAUUAAAUAAUUCCUUUAUCUUGUUCCGAUACGGCAAAGAGCAAUAGAUCCACGGUUGGGACAAUGCACUAUUUUAACAUUUACAUUACUGCUACUUUGAAUGAAAAAAAGAACUAAUUAAUACUUCAUUGAAUAAUUUUGAUUUGAAAAGAAUAAUUAUAAAAGGGUUACAUGCAAAGGUCCAUGCAUAUCUAAAAUUGCGUGGUACGGAAGAUUGAUUGGAAAUUUCUUCCCUCUGUCUGUGUAUUCUUUACACAAUUUAUAUAUUUUUAUAUUAUAUUAUUAUAACAUAUCUAUUGACAUUAAAUCUUCUAUAUAAUUUCAAGGUUAGUAAUUUGUUAUCUGUAUUUUGUUACUAAUAAUAUAAUUAUUGUUGGAUUUGAGGAAAAAUAAUUGAUGUGGAACCAUUAUGUUUUAAAUUUAUUCCUCAAGAACAAUAUUAUCAAAAGAAAUAUAAUAUGUUGGGUUCAAGUUCCAUCAAUUUAUGCCUAAGACGCCUUUAUAUGGAUAAGACGUUGAGUUUGAAUUUCAAUGCAUUAUAUUGAUGAUAUUAUGAUGGCUAAGGUAAAAUAAUGAAUAUUCGGUGAAACAUGUCCCAUUAAAUAUGCUCCAUUCCUUGAAUUGAAUGUGGUAGCAAUAAAUAAUAUGUAUGCCUCAAUUUGCUCUUGUAGCAGCUUUCAUAAUUUGAUACGCUUAAAGCAUGAUUAUAUUCUAUUACUGGGGAAUGAGAAACUUAUUAAUGCAAACGUGCACUUGAUUGUGAUUGUAUCACAACUCACCUGCGAAAGAGGUUGAAUAAUUUUGAAAUCUACUUCUGAAGUAGUAAAUCUGAAAUUUAUUCAUAUAAUAGUAAAUCUGAAUUUUACUAAAGCAAAAACACAUAUCAUGGUAAACUUGGAGUUUACUAGAUUAGAAGUUCAUAAGUUGACAUGAACGAUUGUGAUAUUCCGAAUAUGUGCAUACUGAGUAUUGAACAUAUAUUGAAGAAUUAGAAAAUUCUUCAUGAACUUUAAUGUUGUUUGUUUUCAUGAUAAAUUGGUUGGACCAACUAAUUUUGGAAUUGGAUCCCUCCAAAUCUGAAAAGAAUAAAAGGUGAAUAAGAGUCCGUUCACCUAUCAUGUGAUAUGUUGAAAAGAUGCAUCAAUAAGAUGAUCAUAUGUACAGUCAUUGUCAACCUGCAGUUUGACAUUCAUAAAGUUGCUUGCUCAACAAAAUUGAGUUAAGAACAUAAUUUUCAAAUUGUGCAAUCAAGAAAGUUAUCAUGAUGAUGAUGGUUUAGCAUUGAAUGCCUUCAAUAAAUAGAUAAACCAUUGCUAAUGAGAACAAAGCUUCAUGUGUUGAUCUAAAAUAUGAUAUGUUGCAUACAAUAACACUUGUAUGUAUUAGGCCAAUAAAUUAUGAUUAUUUCUUCCCCUCAAUUGGUUCAAGGUCAUGAACCAACUAUUCCAUCUAAUAAUUUUGAUGUGUGGUAUACGAUUAAUGAAUGUACCAUGAUGCACAAAGAUNNNNNNNNNNNNNNNNNNNNNNNNNNNNNNNNNNNNNNNNNNNNNNNNNNNNNNNNNNNNNNNNNNNNNNNNNNNNNNNNNNNNNNNNNNNNNNNNNNNNNNNNNNNNNNNNNNNNNNNNNNNNNNNNNNNNNNNNNNNNNNNNNNNNNNNNNNNNNNNNNNNNNNNNNNNNNNNNNNNNNNNNNNNNNNNNNNNNNNNNNNNNNNNNNNNNNNNNNNNNNNNNNNNNNNNNNNNNNNNNNNNNNAGGUUCAUGUACCUGAAAAUAAUGAAGUGAUGAGAUCUCAAAAUGUUAUGUCGCAUUGUGAACCGAUACUAAAUGAUAUAUCAUCAAUAUAUUUGACACAAUAUUAGCGCAAUAUUGUGAAAUAUUACGAGGAUCUUAAUUCUACGUUAAUUUAAGCAUGCUGACGUAGAAACAUUUAUCAAGUGACAUGAAAGGAUGCAUUUUGGCAAGUAUUAAACUUAUUUGAUUUACAGUCCAGAUAUGUGAAGAUGUCACUAAUAAAAUGUUGAAUAUUGUCACUUGAUAAAACUUAUAUGAAAAACUUUUAAGGAUUCAAAAUGCUUGAAGCAUAUAAAAGUUUCUGGGAAACUUAUUUAUAAUCCUUAUACUGUAUAAGCUUAUUGCUUGAACAUCAUUUGAACUCUUGGAGAGUUUUCAAAGCAAUAGAUUAUUUGUCGAAAUUCAAAAUAUAUCGAAUUGGAUUGAUUAUGAAGUACCAUAUCUUAGUGCAAUUGAUGUACUCAUGUACCUUGCAAAUACUACAAGGCCUAUAGCCUUUUCAGUCAAUUUGUUAGCAAGAUAUAUUUGUGCUCCUACUAUAAGACAUCAAAAUGGGAUAAAACACAUGAGCUUGUUUUAUUCUAAAUAUUGCAGUCCCGAUCUUAUUAGUCAUGCUGAUGUUGGGUACUUAUCUGACCCGCAUAAAGUUCGGUCUCAAAUAGGCUAUGCGUUCAUAUGUGGUGGUACUGCCAUAUAUUGGAGAUAUACAAAGCAGUCUAUCGUAGCCACUUCAUUGAAUCAUGCUGAGAUAAUAACUAUUCAUAAAGCAAGCCGAGAAUGUGUAUGGUUGAGGUCCAUGAUACAUCUCAUUCGAGAAAAAUAUGGUGUGAAAUAUGACAAUCUACCCACAAUUUUAUACAGAGAUAAUUUAGCAUACAUAGCAUAUCUUAAGGGAAGAUUCAUAAAUGGAGAUAGAACGAAGCACAUUUUGCCAAAGCUUUUCUACGUACAUGAGCUACAAAAGAAUGAUGAGAUUAACGUGCAACAGAUUCGUUCAACUGACAAUGUGACUGAUUUAUUCACCAAAUCUUCUCCAACUGCAACUUUCAAGAAGAUGUUGCACAAGAUUGAGAUGCAAAGGUCAAGGAUGUUCUCAUUAAGGGGAAUUAAUACGCGCUAUACUCUUUUUUCCUUACGAGAUUUUGUCCCACUGGGUUUUCCUUGUAAGUUUUUAAUGAGGCAGCCGAAAUGCGUAUUAUUAGAGAUGUGUACUCUUUUUCCUUCACUAGAUUUUUUUCCAACUGAGUUUUUUCUAGUAAGGUUUUAACGAGACACAUUAUCUACCAAUUAGACAUUCAAUGGGGAGUGUUAUAAAUGUAUUUACAUUAUAGUGAAUGUCUAUCAAGAUCUAUCAAGAUCUACCUUGAUAUCUAUUAGGAUUUGAAGCAUCUGUCUGUUACUCAGACUAGGAGUAAAUUUUUCCUAUAAAUAAAGGAAUUUUAUUCAUUGUAUUUACAAUCUUAUGAUCUUUCAUCUCUUAAGAAAAGAAAUAAGAAUUACUCAGAAAUAAGAAUUACUCUCUCUAUUCUCUCUACUCUCUCUACUCUUCUUCGUUAUUCGUUAUUGUUUCAUAACAGAAAUGACUUUUUGACUAUUAUAAUCUUAUUUAUAUAAGUGACAUGAUUACUAUUUACUAAUUGAUUUUUUUUGUAAUGUUUUCUUCAUUUACUCAAUUGUAGUAAACUCGUAAAUAUUUACUUUUUAUAAUAUUAUUAUUUAUGUUGUUUAAAUUAAUUGUUCACAUAUUUUAAGGAAUGACAUCUCUAUUGAAAUAUUUUUUAUUCUGGAAUGACGUUUUGGUCAUAGUAAUUUUUUUCAUAUAAAUUGCUUGAUUACUAAUUGGUUAUUCACUAAAAUAAAUUUUGUUGCCAACAAAAUAGAUUCUUAUUACCAAAAUACCAAGUGAUUAGUUCUCGAUAUGCCACUUGGCUUAAUUUUAAGCUAACUACUUUGUUUUAUCAUAUAAAUAUAUAGAUUUUCAAGCAAUCCUACUUAUCAUGUGUACAUUUAUUUUUACAAACUAUAUUAUUUAGGUAUAUACUUAGUAAAUUUUAAUUAACCUGGUGUCUAAGUGACACUUGUAGUGACGAGGUGUCUUAAGUGCUGUGUGUCUAUUGGGUCACAGCUUAAUAUAAAUAUAAUUACCUCAAAUUACAACAACAACAACAACAACAUACCCAGUAUAUUCCCACAUAGUGGAGUUUGGGGAGGGUAAAAUGUACACAGUCCAUACCACUAUCCCGACGGGGGUAGAAAGGCUGUUUUCGAUAGACCCCCAGCUCAGGACCAAGGACCAUCCUUCAUACCAAACACGCCCUAAAUAUAAAACAAAUCCAAGCUGAAUAGAGAAAAUAGAGGCUCAGAUCUGUAUUAAGCUCGGGCAGCAAGAGAGUCCAACAACGCCUUGGCUGCAAAACCAUCAGAAAAUCUGGUAGCAUGCCCCGUCAAGAUGCGCGUCGGAUAACAUCAAAUGAUCAAUUAAUCUGCUCGGAAGGGAAUAAAAUAUGACAAAAUCAUCAUCGCCUCUUUAAAGCCACCGAUUAUACUCGGCACUAAAUGCUCCAACAGAACCAUUAGAAAAAGGAGAGAAAAAAAAGAGCUGAAGGUUGUCGAAAACCUUCAAACAAAUGAUGUUAACCAUAUAUAUUUCCCUUCGUUCAAAAUCAAUAAAAGGGUUGUUGGCAUUCUUAAAUAAACUUAAUAUCUUAUCAAAAAACAGCAUAUAAUGAACGUAUUUGGUUGUAUUUUGCUAUUUUAUUAUCUUUUUUGUUUUUAUAAUCCUGCAUAAGAUUUUUUUUUUUUUCAAUGAAAGCCUAUCAAAAAUAAUUUUCUUUAUCUCACAAAAAUAAAAAUAAGAUUUAUGUAUAUUCAUAAAUCUCAGUAUCUUAAUCUCACUAGCAUAUUAUUCGUAUUGCUUUAUAAUAUCACCUAAGUGGAUUUAUAUAUAUUCAAUGAUUUCAUAAGAUUCUUGAAUUACUCUAGAGAGUUCCAAGAACCAAAAGAUCUUUUUGACAAGUCUUGUGAAUACAACCAAAAGUGACCAAUCAUCAUAAUGAUGUCAAAUUUUUAUCAACUCUUCUUUUGCAUUUAUAUAAUUUCG
This 34834-nucleotide long non-coding RNA is filed under the name Capsicum annuum. RNAcentral describes it as "long non-coding RNA (CANN_LNC021156)". Lineage: Eukaryota; Viridiplantae; Streptophyta; Magnoliopsida; Solanales; Solanaceae. The record is from RNAcentral.